This 327-nucleotide ribosomal RNA is filed under the name uncultured eukaryote. RNAcentral describes it as "partial 18S ribosomal RNA". It matches the Rfam family "Eukaryotic small subunit ribosomal RNA", at positions 1470 to 1796 of the family's 1831-position model. The record is from RNAcentral.
CCCUUAGAUGUUCUGGGCCGCACGCGCGCUACACUGACGAAUGCAACGAGCUUAUAACCUUGACCGAAAGGUCUGGGUAAUCUCCAAAUUUCGUCGUGAUGGGGAUAGAUUAUUGCAAUUAUUAAUCUUCAACGAGGAAUGCCUAGUAAGCGCAAGUCAUCAGCUUGCGUUGAUUACGUCCCUGCCCUUUGUACACACCGCCCGUCGCUCCUACCGAUUGAAUGGUCCGGUGAAGCGCUCGGACCGCGGCCUCUUGACGGUUUUCCGUCGAUUGGCUGUGGGAAGUUCGUUAAACCUUAUCAUUUAGAGGAAGGAGAAGUCGUANCA